This 569-nucleotide long non-coding RNA is filed under the name Marmota monax (woodchuck). The record is from RNAcentral. Lineage: Eukaryota; Metazoa; Chordata; Mammalia; Rodentia; Sciuridae.
CAUUAGAAUAAGAAGCCCCGAGUGCCUUCACAGUGUCUAUCUGCCUCCACCCUGAGCCGUCCUGACAAAUGGCUCUUCAUCCAGAGGUCAUCGUCAGAGGACCGCCUUCCAUUUUCUUGUGCAAUACAUUUCAGUUCACCCCGCACCAUGUUCAACUCAAAACUGCCCAUUUCCUCUUAGAAUUUCCUACCGAUUCUCUGAGUAGGCCUAAAAUCUGGCCCAACUGUCACAGUUCUUUAAAGGUAGAGGCCAUGGUUUGAAAGUAUCCCUUAAAAGCUCAUGUGUUAAUACAUCAGUAUCUAAGUUCCUAUGCUCAUAUUUGGAGGUUGAGCUUUGGGAAGCAAUUAGGAUUAGGUGAGGUUAUGAGAUUGGGGCCUUCAUGAUGGCACAAGUGGCUGUAUCAAAACAGGAACAGAGACUUGAGAUAGCAUGCUCGCUCUGUCUCACCAUGUGAUGCCCUAGGCCAUGCUAUGAUGCAGCAGGAAGGCCCUUACUAGAUGGUGAGCAGAUCCUGGCACCGUGUGCUUAAACUUCCCAGCUCUAGCACUAUAAGCUGAAUAAACCUCUAG